This 465-nucleotide ribosomal RNA is filed under the name uncultured bacterium. RNAcentral's name for it is "partial 16S ribosomal RNA". It matches the Rfam family "Bacterial small subunit ribosomal RNA", at positions 338 to 795 of the family's 1533-position model. The record is from RNAcentral.
CCUACGGGUGGCAGCAGUGGGGAAUAUUGCGCAAUGGGCGAAAGCCUGACGCAGCGACGCCGCGUGAGGGAUGAAGGUCUUCGGAUCGUAAACCUCUGUCAGCAGGGAAGAACGGUCACUGUGCUAAUCAGCAGUGAAUUGCCGGUACCUGCAAAGGAAGCACCGGCUAACUCCGUGCCAGCAGCCGCGGUAAUACGGCGGGUGCGAGCGUUAAUCGGAGUUACGGGGCCUAAAGCGCUCGUAGGCGGUAGGUCAAGUCAAGGGUGAAAUCCCCGCGCUCAACGUGGGAACUGCCUUUGAAACUGGCAAACUGGAGUGUGUGAGAGGAUAGUGGAAUUCCAGGUGUAGGAGUGAAAUCCGUAGAUAUCUGGAGGAACAUCAGUGGCGAAGGCGACUAUCUGGCACAUAACUGACGCUGAGGAGCGAAAGCGUGGGUAGCAAACAGGAUUAGAUACCCGGGUAGUC